Molecule: microRNA precursor, 85 nt
Filed under: Marmota monax (woodchuck)
Lineage: Eukaryota; Metazoa; Chordata; Mammalia; Rodentia; Sciuridae
Rfam family: mir-7 microRNA precursor family
About the family: This family represents the microRNA (miRNA) precursor mir-7. In this case the mature sequence comes from the 5' arm of the precursor.
Source: RNAcentral
GGUCUGGUGCUGUGUGGAAGACUAGUGAUUUUGUUGUUCUGAUGUACUAUGACAACAAGUCACAGCCGGCCUCACAGCGCAGACU